Molecule: ribosomal RNA, 710 nt
Filed under: uncultured bacterium
Lineage: Bacteria
Description: bacterial SSU rRNA
Rfam family: Bacterial small subunit ribosomal RNA
Source: RNAcentral
GCAGUCGAACGGCAGCACGGAGCUUGCUCUGGUGGCGAGUGGGGAACGGGUGAGUAAUAUAUCGGAACGUACCCUAGAGUGGGGGAUAACGUAGCGAAAGUUACGCUAAUACCGCAUACGAUCUAAGGAUGAAAGUGGGGGAUCGCAAGACCUCAUGCUCGUGGAGCGGCCGAUAUCUGAUUAGCUAGUUGGUAGGGUAAAAGCCUACCAAGGCAUCGAUCAGUAGCUGGUCUGAGAGGACGACCAGCCACACUGGAACUGAGACACGGUCCAGACUCCUACGGGAGGCAGCAGUGGGGAAUUUUGGACAAUGGGCGAAAGCCUGAUCCAGCAAUGCCGCGUGAGUGAAGAAGGCCUUCGGGUUGUAAAGCUCUUUUGUCAGGGAAGAAACGGUGAAAGCUAAUAUCUUUUGCUAAUGACGGUACCUGAAGAAUAAGCACCGGCUAACUACGUGCCAGCAGCCGCGGUAAUACGUAGGGUGCAAGCGUUAAUCGGAAUUACUGGGCGUAAAGCGUGCGCAGGCGGUUUUGUAAGUCUGAUGUGAAAUCCCCGGGCUCAACCUGGGAAUUGCAUUGGAGACUGCAAGGCUAGAAUCUGGCAGAGGGGGGUAGAAUUCCACGUGUAGCAGUGAAAUGCGUAGAUAUGUGGAGGAACACCGAUGGCGAAGGCAGCCCCCUGGGUCAAGAUUGACGCUCAUGCACGAAAGCGUG